Molecule: ribosomal RNA, 426 nt
Filed under: uncultured bacterium
Lineage: Bacteria
Description: bacterial SSU rRNA
Rfam family: Bacterial small subunit ribosomal RNA
Source: RNAcentral
GUGAGGAAUUUUCCGCAAUGGGCGAAAGCCUGACGGAGCAAUGCCGCGUGAAGGAUGAAGGCCUAUGGGUUGUAAACUUCUUUUCUCAGAAAAGAAUUAUGACGGUAUCUGAGGAAUAAGCAUCGGCUAACUCUGUGCCAGCAGCCGCGGUAAGACAGAGGAUGCAAGCGUUACCCGGAAUGAUUGGGCGUAAAGCGUCUGUAGGUUGUUUAAAAAGUAUUCUGUCAAAGAUUAGGGCUUAACCCUAGAUAGGCAGAAUAAACUUUUAAGCUAGAGUUUGGUAGAGGCAGAGGGAAUUCCCGGUGGAGCGGUGAAAUGCGUAGAUAUCGGGAGGAACACCAAAGGCGAAGGCACUCUGCUGGGCCAAUACUAACACUGAGAGACGAAAGCGAGGGGAGCAAAUGGGAUUAGAUACCCCAGUAGUCC